This 325-nucleotide long non-coding RNA is filed under the name Arabidopsis lyrata. RNAcentral's name for it is "long non-coding RNA (ALYR_LNC002834)". Lineage: Eukaryota; Viridiplantae; Streptophyta; Magnoliopsida; Brassicales; Brassicaceae. The record is from RNAcentral.
CUUCUUCUUUCUCUUUUUCGAUUCAUCAUCAUCUUUAUCUUCCUUUUCUUCUUCAAUCUUCUUUCUCUUUUUCGAUUCAUCAAUCACUCAUCAUCUUCUUCUUCAACUUCUUCUUCGAUCUAUUACUCAACAGCUUCUUCUUCUUUGAUCCAUCACCAACAUCUUUUUCUUCGAUUCACCAUCUUUGAACAUCAUCAUCUUCUUCGCCUUUCAGAUCUAUACACGAGCUCCACCUUACAGAUCUCGCCGCCGGUGUCUCCAGUCAUCAGUUCGUCGGUCGUUGUUGCUUCGUCGAUUUCUUCUCGACACAAAAUCUUCUUUUUCU